UUGAAUUUAAAUUGUGUAUAUGUAAAACACGAAAUGAUGUAGGAUGUAUAAUGAUGGAUGAAAUUAAACCUUAUAUAAGUUUUAUUAUACUAUAUAUUAUAUAACUUUAUAUUAUAUAACUUUAUUCAGUUUUAAGAAAUUGCAGUAUAAAAUAUUUCUACAUUUCUAUUGUAUUUUGGUUUCACUUAACUAUCAUAAGGAUGUGUUUUAUCAUGAUUGAUUUUAUUUAACUGUUAUAGUUAUAAUGAUAUAAUGUUAUGACCUGCAAGUUAGUAGAUUAAAGUGAAAUGUCCCGUAUUGUAUUAUACUAUAAGUAUUACAUUUAGAUUUGUUUAAUCAGCGUAUCUUAUCAUGACGAUUGCAUAUGAAUUUAAUCAUAUGUUUCCCAGUAGCUAAACGUCGUUACUGGUGGUCAUAACCCAUUUAAACAAUGUUUCCUUUUUUCUUCUAAUGAAAUAUCACAAAGAAUAGGGUUUCAGUUAUAUUUUAUAAUAUUUCAUUAUGAAAUAUUCAUAUAUAUGUUGUUCAAUGAUAAUCAAUUUCCACUAAAAUUCAUUUAAUUUUCAAUAAUGAAUGAAAAUUAAUUAAACAUUUUAAACAAAAAUUAGUAAACACACAAAGAGAAUAUGUAUUUUUAUAUUUAUAUUUUUGCUCGCUUGUACCACAUACGUUUGUUUACGCUCAUUAGAAGAAAUUCGCUGAGUAGAAAACAGUAAGUGCAACUGCGUUCUUCGAGACCAACAAAGUAAAUAAAAAACAGUUUCUUAGUUGCGCGAACUUGCGACGAUUACAUGGAAUAUACAAGUUUCGAAAAUAACAUUUAUUGUCCAACAAUACAUACAUUUACAAUACGAUAUAUUUAAAUUAUUAACCGCAUCAUUCCUUAUUCAGGAAUUUUAUGACCAUGAAAUUGUCCUCAUUAAUAAGGAUAAAUCAAUUUCAGAUGGAUCGACUUUUAUUCGUGCAAAUAUAAAUAUUACAUAAUAUAUUUACGACACGAACGAAAUAAGUGAUUAAAAAAUAGAACAUUAGAACCUGUAAAUAAAGAAAUUAUUAUAUUAAAAAAGAUUAAGACUCUGAGUGACGAGUUAAUUCGUCUUCUUCAGUUCACAAUUUAACACCAAAUAAUAUAUACAGUGAUAAAUCAAAGUAUUGGCACAAACCACAUUUUCUCUCAAAAUAUUGCACAAAACUUGCAAAACACGAUAUUUUUGUAAAAUGUAAUUUUCAAGUAUAAAAUUUAGGUAUAUUAUAAUUUAUUAUUAGUAAGCAGCUAUAGAAUAAAAAUGAAUAAUAAAAGACGCGUAACUGAAUAUUUUUAAUAUUUUAAUGUGAUAUUAGAUUUAAAAUAUCAUAAAAUUGAUACGAGACAAUCAGUCCUAGAAUUAUUUCGAAACCGAUGUAAAGUCAAAAAAAUAAUUUAAAGGCGAUAUAAGAAUCGACAUACAACAGAAUAUAUCGUAAUUCAUAUUGGUAAACAGUAAGCAGUUGCAUAAUAAAAAUAAAUAAUAAAAAACGCAUAAUAUAGCAUCUUCGUUAUAAGAACUCUUCGUGGAAUUGUAUCAAAUAAUUUUUCAAUGAACUUAUUUUGUACUAUUUACCAUUCUGCUUUUACGAUUUUAAACAAGCUUGUUGCAUUUUUUAAAUUCAGAAGCUUAUUGUAUCGUUCAUCGUUGAUUAUUAGUAAUUAGUCAAUAUAGCAUAUAGUAAUAGCAGUAGUUAGUAGUAGUAGUUUAGCAAUCAACUACGAUUAACAAGGGAAGAUCUCUAGCCCGGAAAUUCGAAAAAUUAUGAAAAUUCGGAGAUAUGUAGAGCAUAUAUAGCCAUGUAUAGCGCAAUUUUCUUCUCUUGCCCAAAUUCGUUCUGAGGAGGUAAAAUCGACUCCUGAAAAUUCGACCAUUUUCCGAUUUUAUGUUAUAAUUCGCAAACUAUAAGAGUUAAACUAUAAAAGCUUUUAGAUAAAAAUUGUUUAUUUUUUUCAACGAAGGCUAUCGUUUGGUAAAAGAUUUGGCAAUUAUUUAGAAAGCUGCAAUCAUCUUGGAUUUCGGUGAUUUUUUAAUAUACUAUAAAAAUCAAAAUUUUGAAUAACUUUUUUUUGCAUCUACCACUGCUCGGGCUUAGUUUCCGAGAUAUCUGCAAAAGACCUGUCGGAUAUAAUUGUAUAUCCGUGGUAUGUAUAUCCAAUGUAUUCGCCAAUGUUUACAGCUUAUAUAAGUGGGUUAGGUGUUAUUUAAUUCCGUAGUCACGAUGAGACGACCGACAAUCAAUACUAAUGUAUACGCUAUCAUGGUCACACAAUUAUAAGUAGAAUUCAUUAUGAGCUGCCGACAAAAACUUUUUUGAGAUUAUCUCGAAAACUAUGGUCCCCGACCACAUAUAAAAAAUACGUCGAAAUGCAAGAUGCCGGUAGCUUCCUAAAUAUAUAAUUACCAAAGAUUUAUCAUUUGUUUAUAUAAUUAGAAAAAAGUUAUAAAGAAAGUAAUUGAUAAUUUUUCAAAAAAACUCAUUCUUUGGCGUAAAAUCUUAAUCAAUGAUUUAAAUAAUUAUGAAACAACAUAAAAAAACAUAUAGUUAUUUUUUAAUAUAAAUGCAAUCUUUGUUGCAUUGUUGAAUUGUGUUCUUCGACAAUCGAAGAACUUCUCAAUUUCAUUGUACACAUACUAUGAUAUGCUGACGUGCAAUAAAAAAUUUUCGGUGCACAUGUAUGCACCUGACGCAUCAUAUAACGCAGGUAUGCAUUCAGUUGUGCGAAACAAAGAAAAAUAUAAGGACUAACGUAUCUAAUGACAAAGUAAUAAAUAAUAAGUAAACAUGCAAUGACCAUUUUAGUGUUCGCAGUGAGGACUAGAUAUGGACGCUUAUCUGAGGAAGUGACAUCUGCGAAUUCAACUAAAGAAAGGAGAAGGGAUGGAUAUGAGAGAGAUACUGAUAUUGGGCACGUGUAAACGUGGACUCGAGCGUCAAUCCAUAUUUGCUCGAAAUAAUCGAUAAGGAACGGUGUCAAGUUUCAUUUAACACUAUCUCAUUCGGCAUGCUCGAAACUCACGUCGAAGUCCCAUUUCCAAGAAUUAGUGGCGUUAGCGACGUAUGCUUAAAUGGGCACUACAAGUAAAAUAGUAAUAAACAUACAGCGUUGAAAGUUAGCAUUUGUCUAGUGAAAACAGAUUAACAAUAAAAAAAUGCUGCUUUCUUUGUAGUGCGCUAUAAUACAGUACUAUAUGUGUCAACAAUAAGUAAGUAUAUCUAAGUAUAGUCUCUGUAACGAACGUAUAAAAAUGAUUCAUGUAAAUCCUACAAAUACUAUUCGUUUAUUUACGAUUACGUUAAAAAUUAUGGAUAAUAACAAUAUAAUGAUAUAUUAUAAUGAGAAGAGAAAUCGACUUACAAGAUAUAAUAAAAGAUACGCUUAUUGUAUUAAUUUGUGGAACCGUUUAAACCACAUUCUGUAGAAUUUCUGGAUAGUAUAUAACGAGGUCCACGCGAAGAAUUUUCAGAAGCGAUAGAGAUCUAAGAUGAGUGUGUACCAGAAUAAUAUUAUUUAUUGUGACCUUAGAAUACAAAAUUAAUGUUGUUACGUUUUGGAGAAGUGGAAAGAGGACGCGACUUUCCCUAGACAAUCCCAGGCACAAAUUUUGAAAAGUUUCAUCUCUUUAACAAUUGUAUAAGUGUAUAAUUGUAUAGUUAUCUAUCCGUUUUGUAUCUAUGCAUAAUUGCCUUAUUUAGAUUAUUAGAUGGAAAGAGACGGUAAACAGACGGAGAACACGGCGGGAAAAAUUGUUACAAAUUUCCGAAUAUGUUUAUAACAAGUUUGUUAACGCUCAUGCUGUUAUUCGUUAUUUGAGCUUUUGAAGAUGGACACUAGAAGCUAUUGAAGAAAUAGGUUCGAGAAAUUUAAAAGCUAACAUUUUUCAAACUGGAUUUUCAAUUUUAAGAAAACUUAAAGUUGAUAAUAUAGAAUAGUGUCAAAAAAUUAAACAAAUUUAUUACUCGAUUAUAUGGCAUUGAUACCACGCAAUUAAAUGAAAUUGCUUCGUCUUUUGUUAAUAAUGUAAAACCUCAAACUAGAAAUAUCGGAAAAUACGUACUGUACAGUUAGCGGAUUAGAUAGAAUUACAUUAUGGCUGUACUUUAUCUAGGCAAGGAUCAAAAACGGUUAUGGCUGUUGUGAAGUCUAUAUCAGCUACAACACACAGUUGUACUAAACUCCCCAUAAUAUCAACUUCUGGGAAAUUUAUUUAACCGCUUUUUAUUGUUCUAAAAGAAUAGAAUGGUAAUUUUGUUCCACGUGUACAACAAUCUUUGUUUCGACAAUGGAAUGUUGAUAUAGUGGCCUUCACAUCUGGAAAGUUAACCAAAGAACUGUUCAAUGAAUAGUUAACAAACGUAUAUCUAUCAAAUGCAGAAUCUCGGAAGUUACUGACAUCGUGAUUUGAUCAAUGUUAAUCUACAUUACAAAAUAGUAUCAUGUUGUAAUCAGCAUGUUGAAAUAUUCACAAUAUCGAAUACAGGAAUAAUGUAACUGAUAUAUAUAUAUAUAUACAGUUCCGCAUAACGAAGAACUUUAUAUGAAUAUUUUCCGAUCUUGUAGUACUAUUUAAUUGCGAUGAUUGAUAUCAUUAAAUUACAGUUUCUUAUUUUAUCUCUAUUUUCAUCACCAAAACCGUAAGGUGUAUAUACAUACUUGUUUACACUUGGUAUAAAGGUGAAUAUUAUAUCGAUAGAAAGGAAACAAAUUAUUAAUGCCAGAAAUCCAGUAGAUUUCGCUUCCUCACAACAAGUUUAUCUUAAACAUUGUUUUGCAGAAUUUCAUUAUCAUAAAGAAUGAUUCAUAAUAUAAUUCACACGAUAUUUGUAUUUUCGAAAUUAUUUAUCUAUUUUUGAAGUGUUUAUUUAGAUACAUAAAAUUAGAUGAGGAAUUGCUAGAAUAACUGGACGGGCAAGUGGAGAGGAAACCAGGGGAAAUAGAGAAGAAGCAUACAUUAGAAUAUAUUUGAAUUAUUAUAUAAUUAGAAAAGAGAAGGGAAGAGUAAUUAAAUAACAAAUACAUCUUGAUUAUGUGAAUAAUAUUAUGAUGUUUUUCCCGCAUAUUUUACGAAUUCUUGGAGUAUUACUAAUCACUAUAUAUUACAUCCGAAAAUAUCAAAAUGUACAAAUAGUGAAAUAAAUAACUUACUUACUUA
Long non-coding RNA from Bombus pyrosoma, 5180 nucleotides. RefSeq lists it as uncharacterized. NCBI's taxonomy places the organism in Eukaryota, Metazoa, Arthropoda, Insecta, Hymenoptera, Apidae. The record is from RefSeq and is a predicted model, not a curated record. The transcript is spliced from 2 exons.